Molecule: non-coding RNA, 45 nt
Filed under: Schistosoma curassoni
Lineage: Eukaryota; Metazoa; Platyhelminthes; Trematoda; Strigeidida; Schistosomatidae
Source: RNAcentral
AUCCAGCUCAUGAGUCCCAAAUAGAACGAAACGCGUGUCCUGAAU